RNAcentral lists this non-coding RNA (100 nucleotides) under uncultured Methylophaga sp. Lineage: Bacteria; Pseudomonadati; Pseudomonadota; Gammaproteobacteria; Thiotrichales; Piscirickettsiaceae. The record is from RNAcentral.
CGACAGCGAUCUUCAGUCAGGGUCAGGCAAAUGAGGCCACGGCCGAAACGAGCCAUAAAAUUAAUCGCUUCCGGCGUGACCUUUUCAGCGGCCAUAAUCA